UCUGAGGAAUAUAAGGUCAUCGAGUAAGUUGCUAUGAAAUCAGUGCAACUUUUAUUUCUAUUUUCUAAUACAAACCUGAUUUUAACAUACAUUUUUUUUUUCUCUUCUAUUACUUAUUUUCACAUAAUGAACAUGGCUAUUCAUGUGAUAAUAUGUGAUAAGGUGAAGCAUGUGAGAUAAUCACCCAUGAAAAUCAUGAUAUGCUGUUCUACCAGGUUAAUAUUUUUAGAAUGGUGGCAUGGACAACAAGAAGCCAAAGGAAAAAUAAAAUUAAGCAAUCAAGAAGCUUAAAAUUAUGGGAGGAGUUUUAAAUAACAGAGUUGGAAAUGGUUUCGGAAUUGGAAAGAGCAUAUUAGAAUCAGUUUGAAUAAGUCUAAAAUGGACCAAAUCAGCUGCUAACUUCUUGAAUUUUUCUAAAAACCAUAACCAAGAUGACAUAUUUGAAUUUAAAAUACUGGUGUA
RNAcentral lists this unclassified non-coding RNA (462 nucleotides) under Hevea brasiliensis (rubber tree). The record is from RNAcentral. Lineage: Eukaryota; Viridiplantae; Streptophyta; Magnoliopsida; Malpighiales; Euphorbiaceae.